Molecule: long non-coding RNA, 467 nt
Organism: Medicago truncatula (barrel medic)
Lineage: Eukaryota; Viridiplantae; Streptophyta; Magnoliopsida; Fabales; Fabaceae
Exons: 3
Source: RefSeq, a predicted model, not a curated record
UUUGCAGACAUUACCAAUGCUACAUGCUUUAUCUUUUUGCUAUAUCGUUUUUGCCAUUCUAAAUUCUAAUCAGUGCUGUUUAAAAUUACUAACUUAUUGUAUUUUACGUUUAUGUAGCACCUUCCCUGUCCACUAGCAGUCGCCCCGUUAAGAAGAGAAGUCUUGGUCAUGAUGGUAGACUCACUCCAGGAAAGUACACGCUGCAUAAUAGCGUCCUCCUAUCCCAUGGAAAUCAAUCUCAGAUUCAGCGGAAUAUUUCUCAAGUGAAACCCGUCAAUCUACACUCCACAUUGCUCCAAGACAUGGACUUAGAUUAUGCUGAGGUCAACACCACUGUGGAGGUAUUGUGUCCGACCAAUGCUGAGCAUUCUGAUAUCCCGUCGAACUCUGGUAUUGAGAUAGCGAUGAAUGAUGUUAACCAGAUAGUAGAUUGUGAUGAUCAAGAUGAUUUGUCUGACACUGCUGGU